Triticum aestivum (bread wheat) is the source of this 113-nucleotide non-coding RNA. The record is from Rfam. NCBI's taxonomy places the organism in Eukaryota, Viridiplantae, Streptophyta, Magnoliopsida, Poales, Poaceae.
CAACUACUCCCUCCGUCCGGAAAUACUUGUCAUCAAAAUGGAUAAAAGGGGAUGUAUCUAGACGUAUUUUAUCCAUUUUGAUGACAAGUAUUUUCGGACGGAGGGAGUAUCAA